Molecule: long non-coding RNA, 196 nt
Organism: Dreissena polymorpha
Lineage: Eukaryota; Metazoa; Mollusca; Bivalvia; Myida; Dreissenidae
Exons: 3
Source: RefSeq, a predicted model, not a curated record
CAGGCCUUCGGCUCAAAAGGACUCUGAUAUGGAAUGCGAUUGAUCAGCCAUCAAUGGACAGUAGUGCUGAGCUGUCGACAGAAACUGUCAGUUAUCAUUUGCAGCCUCUUGACAGGCCUUCGGCUCAAAAGGACUCUGAUAUGGAAUGCGAUUGAUCAGCCAUCAAUGGACAGUAGUGCUGAGCUGUCGACAGAAA